This 211-nucleotide ribosomal RNA is filed under the name uncultured bacterium. RNAcentral's name for it is "partial 16S ribosomal RNA". It matches the Rfam family "Bacterial small subunit ribosomal RNA", at positions 1290 to 1500 of the family's 1533-position model. The record is from RNAcentral.
AGUUCGGAUUGCAGUCUGCAACUCGACUGCAUGAAGCUGGAAUCGCUAGUAAUCGCGAAUCAGAAUGUCGCGGUGAAUACGUUCCCGGGCCUUGUACACACCGCCCGUCACACCAUGGGAGUUGGAAGCACCCGAAGUCGGUGACCUGACCGAAAGGGAGGAGCCGCCGAAGGUGAAGCCAGCGACUGGGGUGAAGUCGUAACAAGGUAAC